This 667-nucleotide ribosomal RNA is filed under the name Polyporales sp. TK-10. RNAcentral's name for it is "eukaryotic LSU rRNA". The stretch from base 185 to 338 matches the Rfam family "5.8S ribosomal RNA". The record is from RNAcentral. Lineage: Eukaryota; Fungi; Basidiomycota; Agaricomycetes; Polyporales.
GAAUUCCAAACGGAUGAGAUUGCUGCUGGCUUUUGGGCAUGUGCGCAUCUCAUUCAUUCUUAUCUCACCUCUGUGCACUUUUCACAGGAAUGGCUUGUGGCUGAUGGCUGCAGAUUGUUUCUGUGUGCUUUACAAACCCUCAUAUUGUUUAGAAUGUAUAUCGUGUAUUUACACAAUUUAAUACAACUUUCAGCAACGGAUCUCUUGGCUCUCGCAUCRAUGAAGAACGCAGCGAAAUGCGAUAAGUAAUGUGAAUUGCAGAAUUCAGUGAAUCAUCGAAUCUUUGAACGCACCUUGCGCUCCUUGGUAUUCCGAGGAGCAUGCCUGUUUGAGUGUCAUGGUAUUCUCAAUUCCCUUAGUGUUUGCUAAGGUGAUAUUGGACUUGGAGGUUGUUGCUGGCAUCRUUGUGAAAGUCAGCUCCUCUUAAAUGCAUUAGUGUGAAUGUUCAUUUCAUACUCAGUGUGAUAAUUAUCUGCACUGUGUUUGAGUGAUAAAGCUUCAUGCUUCUAAUCGUCGCAAGACAAUUCCUUUGACUUCUGACCUCAAAUCAGGUAGGACUACCCGCUGAACUUAAGCAUAUCAAUAAGCGGAGGAAAAGAAACUAACAAGGAUUCCCCUAGUAACUGCGAGUGAAGCGGGAAAAGCUCAAAUUUAAAAUCUGGCAGUU